Molecule: ribosomal RNA, 1347 nt
Filed under: uncultured bacterium
Lineage: Bacteria
Description: partial 16S ribosomal RNA
Rfam family: Bacterial small subunit ribosomal RNA
Source: RNAcentral
GACGAACGCUGGCGGCGUGCUUAACACAUGCAAGUCGAACGGAAAGGCCCUGCUUUUGUGGGGUGCUCGAGUGGCGAACGGGUGAGUAACACGUGAGUAACCUGCCCUUGACUUUGGGAUAACUUCAGGAAACUGGGGCUAAUACCGGAUAGGAGCUCCUGCUGCAUGGUGGGGGUUGGAAAGUUUCGGCGGUUGGGGAUGGACUCGCGGCUUAUCAGCUUGUUGGUGGGGUAGUGGCUUACCAAGGCUUUGACGGGUAGCCGGCCUGAGAGGGUGACCGGCCACAUUGGGACUGAGAUACGGCCCAGACUCCUACGGGAGGCAGCAGUGGGGAAUAUUGCACAAUGGGCGGAAGCCUGAUGCAGCAACGCCGCGUGCGGGAUGACGGCCUUCGGGUUGUAAACCGCUUUCGCCUGUGACGAAGCGUGAGUGACGGUAAUGGGUAAAGAAGCACCGGCUAACUACGUGCCAGCAGCCGCGGUGAUACGUAGGGUGCGAGCGUUGUCCGGAUUUAUUGGGCGUAAAGGGCUCGUAGGUGGUUGAUCGCGUCGGAAGUGUAAUCUUGGGGCUUAACCCUGAGCGUGCUUUCGAUACGGGUCGACUUGAGGAAGGUAGGGGAGAAUGGAAUUCCUGGUGGAGCGGUGGAAUGCGCAGAUAUCAGGAGGAACACCAGUGGCGAAGGCGGUUCUCUGGGCCUUUCCUGACGCUGAGGAGCGAAAGCGUGGGGAGCGAACAGGCUUAGAUACCCUGGUAGUCCACGCUGUAAACGGUGGGUACUAGGUGUGGGGUCCAUUCCACGGGUUCCGUGCCGUAGCUAACGCUUUAAGUACCCCGCCUGGGGAGUACGGCCGCAAGGCUAAAACUCAAAGGAAUUGACGGGGCCCCGCACAAGCGGCGGAGCAUGCGGAUUAAUUCGAUGCAACGCGUAGAACCUUACCUGGGUUUGACAUGGAUCGGGAGUGCUCAGAGAUGGGUGUGCCUCUUUUGGGGUCGGUUCACAGGUGGUGCAUGGCUGUCGUCAGCUCGUGUCGUGAGAUGUUGGGUUAAGUCCCGCAACGAGCGCAACCCUUGUUCACUGUUGCCAGCACGUUAUGGUGGGGACUCAGUGGAGACCGCCGGGGUCAACUCGGAGGAAGGUGGGGAUAACGUCAAGUCAUCAUGCCCCUUAUGUCCAGGGCUUCACGCAUGCUACAAUGGCUGGUACAGAGAGUGGCGAGCCUGCGAGGGUGAGCGAAUCUCGGAAAGCCGGUCUCAGUUCGGAUUGGGGUCUGCAACUCGACCUCAUGAAGUCGGAGUCGCUAGUAAUCGCAGAUCAGCAACGCUGCGGUGAAUACGUUCCCGGGGGCU